This 365-nucleotide unclassified non-coding RNA is filed under the name Hevea brasiliensis (rubber tree). Lineage: Eukaryota; Viridiplantae; Streptophyta; Magnoliopsida; Malpighiales; Euphorbiaceae. The record is from RNAcentral.
AAGAAGAAGAAGAAGGAAGAAGAAUCGUACAAGUUUGUAGUUGAAGCUAUAAGCGCCUUCAUCAGUAAAAGGAAGAGGAAGAAAUAGUUGCAGAUGGCCAAUAUUGAUAUUGAGGGAAUUCUUAAGGAACUUCCUAAUGAUGGGCGUAUCCCCAAAACGAAAAUUGUUUGUACUUUGGGACCUGCUUCCCGAUCGGUGCCUAUGAUCGAGAAGCUUCUUAGGGCUGGUAUGAAUGUUGCUCGUUUCAAUUUCUCUCAUGGUACACAUGAGUAUCAUCAAGAGACUUUGAACAAUCUCAGGACUGCCAUGCAGAAUACUCAAAUCCUUUGCGCCGUCAUGCUUGAUACUAAGGGACCAGAGAUUCG